CGCACAUUGCGCCCCUUGGUAUUCCAGGGGGCAUGCCUGUUUGAGCGUCAUUUCCUUCUCAAAUACUUGUAUUUGGUUGUGAGUGACACUCAGUCUUGCAUUGAGUUAACUUGAAAUUGUUGGCCGUAGCGGUUGUUGCAGCUUAUAGUUUUUGUGUAAUGGUAUGAUUUCUUUACUAUUAAACAGGAUGCUUGAGCAUGUCGUAUUAGGUUUUACCAACUCCGGCAGACUCGGUAUCUUGGAAGAGCGUACUGGCAUUAGAACAUUGAACUGUCGACUGUGGCAAACAGUACUCUUUAAGUUUGACCUCAAAUCAGGUAGGAAUACCCGCUGAACUUAA
RNAcentral lists this unclassified non-coding RNA (340 nucleotides) under Maudiozyma exigua. Its description in RNAcentral is "Kazachstania exigua partial contains 5.8S ribosomal RNA, internal transcribed spacer 2, and large subunit ribosomal RNA". Lineage: Eukaryota; Fungi; Ascomycota; Saccharomycetes; Saccharomycetales; Saccharomycetaceae. The record is from RNAcentral.